Siniperca chuatsi (mandarin fish) is the source of this 778-nucleotide long non-coding RNA. RefSeq lists it as uncharacterized. The record is from RefSeq and is a predicted model, not a curated record. The transcript has 3 exons. NCBI's taxonomy places the organism in Eukaryota, Metazoa, Chordata, Actinopteri, Centrarchiformes, Sinipercidae.
GAAUGUGGAGAGGACCCACUUGGGUAAGGAAGGACAAGCAAGCAGGACAGAAGGUGGAGGAGGUGUAGCUGCCUUGGGGGAACAGACUGAGACACAACUGUGACUAUAGUCUACAAUACAAUUUGUAUAUUAGCAACAAAGGGCUUCAUUCAGCUUAUGCCAUAGAGAACCAACAUCACAGAGGUAAACUUGUUAAUUAGAGCAGAAAUCCAACACAAAUAUCACUGAAGAGGGAAUACAUCCACAUGAAAAUUACAGCGAGCUGUGGGUCACUGUCUUCAUUUAGCUCCUGAGAUGAGGCAGCCAAAUUACCUGUCUGUUGGGAUUCCUGAGCCAAUUCUGGAGCACGACGUAAGCAUGUCACUGUCAGUUUGGCACUCAUAUGCUGCAACUUUAAUGGCCUUCAUUCCUCAAGUAGAUCAUAUACUCUCAGUGCUAGUCGGCAGCCUCUUGCUAUACCUCGUGAGCAAACAUAAUGGAGAAUCGUAAGGAUGAUCUUCAACCAAGAGUGGAGUCAACAUAUGGAGUAAAUUUACUUAACACACAAAAUAUUGUGUCAAAUUGAGAUCAUGCGGCAGAUUCCCUUUGUUUCCUUUAGAAAUCAUUAAAAGUUCAUUUCCUUUUCCCCAAAAAACUGACCUGUUGCACAUUUUUGAGUGAGUGAUGAUUCAUGAUUUCUCUGUUUUUUUGUGUGUGCAUGUGGUGGGGGAAUCCAUACUGAAUGCGUGUACUGGGGUGUUGGGAGGGGUUAAAAUGAGUCAUAGUUUAGUUCACUCAU